UCCAGGGUAGCCUAGUGGACAUGGCAUCUGCCCAGUAAGCAGAACACUGUGGGUUUGUUUCCCAUCCCUGGAC
Molecule: transfer RNA, 73 nt
Filed under: Cordylochernes scorpioides
Lineage: Eukaryota; Metazoa; Arthropoda; Arachnida; Pseudoscorpiones; Chernetidae
Description: tRNA-Thr
Source: RNAcentral